This 733-nucleotide ribosomal RNA is filed under the name Cytauxzoon sp. RNAcentral's name for it is "SSU rRNA". It matches the Rfam family "Eukaryotic small subunit ribosomal RNA", at positions 203 to 965 of the family's 1831-position model. Lineage: Eukaryota; Apicomplexa; Aconoidasida; Piroplasmida; Theileriidae. The record is from RNAcentral.
GCGUUUAUUAGACCUUAAACCAUCCCGCUUCGGCGGUAUAUCGGUGAUUCAUAAUAAAUACGCGAAUCGCAUUGCUUUAUGCUGGCGAUGUAUCAUUCAAGUUUCUGACCUAUCAGCUUUGGACGGUAGGGUAUUGGCCUACCGGGGCAGCGACGGGUAACGGGGAAUUAGGGUUCGAUUCCGGAGAGGGAGCCUGAGAAAUGGCUACCACAUCUAAGGAAGGCAGCAGGCGCGUAAAUUACCCAAUCCUAACACAGGGAGGUAGUGACAAGAAAUAACAAUACGAGGCUUAAAGUCUUGUAAUUGGAAUGACGGAAAUUUAAGCUCUUUCCGGAGUAUCAAUUGGAGGGCAAGUCUGGUGCCAGCAGCCGCGGUAAUUCCAGCUCCAAUAGCGUAUAUUAAACUUGUUGCAGUUAAAAAGCUCGUAGUUGAAUUUCUGCUGCAUCAUUUAUAUUCCUUAAUCGGUUUAUUUAUGUUGUGGCUUUUUCUGGUGAUUAUAUUUCGGUAUGAUUAUCCAGAUUGUUACUUUGAGAAAAUUAGAGUGCUUAAAGCAGGCUUUUGCCUUGAAUACUUUAGCAUGGAAUAACUAAGUAGGACUUUGGUUCUAUUUUGUUGGUUUAAGAGCCAAAGUAAUGAUUAAUAGGAACAGUUGGGGGCAUUCGUAUUUAACUGUCAGAGGUGAAAUUCUUAGAUUUGUUAAAGACGAACUACUGCGAAAGCAUUUGCCAAGGAU